Rattus norvegicus (Norway rat) is the source of this 4136-nucleotide long non-coding RNA. RefSeq lists it as uncharacterized. The record is from RefSeq and is a predicted model, not a curated record. NCBI's taxonomy places the organism in Eukaryota, Metazoa, Chordata, Mammalia, Rodentia, Muridae.
CCCAUAUUCACCUGGAUGGAUCAAUCUAUAGUUAACCAGUUGUCCUUCAAAGCCUGUAUGACCUGACACACAAUGAAACAGUCUCGAGGAAAAUUAAAGGCAGACCAACACCCUCGCUGAUAGACAACGUUAACACCAUUCUGCGUCACUGAAAGAGCCAACAGUCUGUGUCUUUGGGAAAACAGCGGCUGAGUGGUGACUCCUAUUCCCUACACUCCUAUUCCCUAUUCACCCACUGCUGAGGCAGAGUGAGAGAGAAGGUAGGUUGGGUAAAAACUGUGAGAGGGAGAAACGGUACCCGGGAUGCCCAGACAGUGCUGAGGUCUUGGGUAUUUUUGUGAGUCCUAAAGUCUCAGAAUUGAAGUUAGCUGCUUCCUGUGGCCUCCUCAGGAAAAGGCGGAGGGGGAAGGGGGGAGGAGGGAGGGGGGAGGGGGAAGUGGGGGAGAACAUCUAAUCAUCCAGCAUUGGACCACAGCGGCUGUGUUCCAGGUGUUAGGAGUAGGGACAGAACAAGCAAUAGCUUCCCAAGCUGAGGAGGGCACAGACUGGGGCAGCAACUGCUUAAAAGAACACGGAAAAAGAUGGCUUCCGCUGCCUAUGCCUGCAGCCCUUGCAUGCAGGAGCGUGAUACAGAAGGCUGACUAGGGCUAUUACUAAGACCCUAUAUAAAAACGGUAAAUAAAGAGGUGGUUUAAAAGGCCAUACAGGAGGGAGAGACUAACGUCGAGGACCAGAGCCAGGUUGAGGAGCUGAGGAGCCAUGGUAAGGAAAGAGCUGCAAGAAAGAAAAAAAAAGCAUAUUUAUCAUCCGGAAUGGCUGUAAUUUGAUUUGAAAGUCUCAGAGAUGACGUGACUCCAGGCUCAGCCUUUGUUGCUCACCAGUUCCAGGUUGUGAAAAGAAAGCGCUGCGGGUCAGCAGAAGAAAGCCAGCGCCAGGCAGUUUUAAUAUACCUGGCAGCUCCCCCUGGCUGGGUUAUAAUAUGGCUCUGAGCAUGCUGCUAAUAGUGUCAGUCACAAAUAAUAAGCUUCUGCAUGGUUUCAGUAUCCGGGUCUCAUCCUGGCUUAUUCUGAGAACAAGGCCAUCUGCCAGCUAGGCAAUGAGUUUCAAAGAGAAGAAGGAAAAACAGAAAAACGGGACUGUCCAAUAUCGCCACCUGCUGACUGCUGUGGAAUUACAGGCCCAUCCCUUCCUAGAAGAACUUCCAGCUGCAAACAAAGACUAAGCUUAAAUAAAGAAGUUUAAACUUACCGUGAGUAGGCUGAUUGAAAUUCUAGACUUUAUAAAUUAGCAAUUACCUUUGCAUUCAUUCUUAUGAUUGUAUAAUGUCGUUAUAUACUGCCCACACUUUCCAGUACUAGAAAAUAUGUAGUAGCCUUACAAGUUAAAACAUUGUUACUUUGGGGGCUGACUAAACAACUCAGUAGUUAAGAGCACUGACUGCUCUUCCAGUGGGCCGGUGUUUGAUUUCCUCAAUCCACGUGGUGUUUUCCAACCAUCUAUAACUUGAGUUUCCAAGGGGGAUCUGACACUUUUUUUUUUUUUUUUGGAUAUUGCACACAUGUGGUACACAGACGUACAUGUAGACAAAACACCCAUAUAGAUAAAACAAAAAUAAAUCCCAUGAAAGCUAUUUUCUCCCUUAUUAAAAAAAUUACUAGGACAUUCUCAGUUGCAAAGAACUUGCAUGCAUCAUGUUACUGGGAAAACUGGGGUUCCCUUCGGGGUUCUCAAUAGAAGAAUUUUGAAAUAGAGUCAGAAGAAGGAAGCCUCUGGACAAUUUGUUUGUAGGCUCUGAGAGGAAAAACAGGAAGCCAGGCAAGCUGUAAUCUUGGCAGUCGAGGAAGCAGGAGAGAGAAAUCUGUGCCUUUUGAGGUAGGGUCCAAGAAGGCUGGCAUGUUCAGCAUCGGAGGCUGGCAGAAGAGGGAGGUCUUCAGAGAAAAGUGAGGAAGCUCAGAGUAUCAGGGUUAGGCUUGAAAAAUAGUUAGGCCUGAGGAAGAAGGAAAUGGAAGGGUAGGAGCUCACAGGGUGGAAGCUCCACAAGGCCCUGCACUGAGGGAAGGGCUUCUGUUAAGUACAGUAUUUUUUAAAGGCUUCCAUAGCUUUAGCAUGCCCUCAGGUGAACCAUGUGUCCCGUGAGGCAGGUGUUUGGCACCACAAGCUAGGUUAAUUCUUGGGGAAGGAGAAAAUGGGUGCAGUGUUCUGAAGUUUGGGCAGAUGGCCACUCAAGGCCAGAGGUGGAUUCCAUUCUUUGGGCUAAGAGGAAGUAGCUUAAUGGUCUCAACAGAACACUGGCACUCCCAUCUGAUAAGUUCAAAUACUACAGGGGCCAGUUUAGAUUCCUCCCUCUCUAGGGCUACCAGGGAAAUGACAGGUGAGGUCCAAAAUCGGCCACAGGGAGGGGCCCAUCCUCAAUGGCUUCUAAGCUCAAGAAGAUCUGCCUGGCUACCUACCUAACAAUACUGAAAGGAAGUCAGUGAGCAUUCGGAGAGUCUCUCAGCUUUCUCCUGAGCUUAAAUCUUGUAGGUGGUAAGCUCAAAGGCUUGUCUGGCUUUGUUCCCAAUCUUUGACAGCCACUCUAGUGAUGGAAUUAACUUCUUCUAUGACUCUGAAGUGUUGUCUAUUCAACCCAAACAUUCUUUGUAGAGGGUUGUGCAGGGUGUGUGAGAGUAGGGAUGGGGGUGGUUGGAACUAGGACUCAGAAUGGUUAUCUCAUUCACACCUGUCACCCUGGGCCAGGAAACAAUCAAGCUGCUGACCUAAGCACUGUUAGAAGGCGGACUUGAACCCACAAAAUUGGAGAUAAGGAAAUUGGUUGCAUUUAGCAUUUCAAAAACAAACAAACAAACAAACAAACAAACAAAACAAAACAAGAAAUUCCUCCAAGCUUUGCUUUGAGACAGAGAAUCCCUAAAUCAUCUAUUAGCAGGAGAACCAGGGAAGAAAACGGAUUUACGGAUUUUAUAUGAGGUGACAGUAACCUUUCAGCUAUUAUUUUGAGGCUACUGAAACAAUUUCUAUGCUGUCAAUUCUGAAGAUCACCCCAUGCAAUCAGUGGCUAAAUUUUGGAGAUUCUCCUUUCAAGAGACCACAGUCAGUUUUCUGUAGUGGAAACAGGAAUUGGCCUUCUCAGUAGGAAGUCAGAUCUAAGACAUGACAUGACAAAGGGGCUGUCGAGCUAAACCUGUCCCUAAGAGCUUGCAUGGUGAGUGGUCAGAGCUAGAAAUCAUGCUAGUGGUCAGAGGUCACCACCUCUCUACACCUCUCACACUGUUCAGGCAACUUGAGCAAAGGAACUGUUUCAGAGAAGUUCAGAGUGCUUGUUCAAAUCAUGCCUUUUUUUCUUCUGUUGGUCUAAAUUUUGUAAAAACUACCCAUGUGCCUUAGAGAUGGGUGGUCCUUUUUUUCUGGCUAGGGAUUUCCAAAUACAUUUUGGAGUGCUAUCAUCAUUUUAUUACUGGCUUUGACAUCAUUUAGAACAUCACAGUAAUGUAACUGGGAUAUGGCACAAUAUUACAGUGAUCAGUAGCUUUUAAGGCCACAGAGGAAUGGGCACCACCUUCCUUCUCCCUGGAGAAGAGUAGGAAAGGAAACUAUCCAACUGCUCUGUUCUUUCUUACACCUCCUGGUCAAAAGGGUGGAAUCUACCUCUGGCUCUGGGUAGAGACACAGUGGUCCACUCUGCUUCAAAGAUGAGAACAUUAUAUACUUCUCUCUAUUUCUUCAGGAGCAAGUCUAGCCGGGCCUGUCAAUCAUCUGGACAGGAGCCCAACCCAGGAAAUCCAAGUCCUAUGCUAAGGUGAUGGGAAGAAAAUUGUCCCUCUCAUUAGAUAAUGCAUUUACUAUUCCCAGGAGUCCCCACUUGUCUGGGCAGCCUCAGUACUUCCCCUACAGAGGGAACUGUUCAACUUGCCUGCUCUCCUGAGUUUCAACUCAGAAGUCCAACUCUCAUUUCUCUCCCUCCCAUUUGCAUUUCACUCAUUGAAUAACUGACCAUUUCUAUUUUCUUCUAUUACCAUUCAGGUCCGACAAAAAGUUGUUUCUUAGCAAAUGUUUAUUGACUGGGCAGAUUACAUAAAAAUGACAUAUCCUAGGUAUCUAUUCACACACACACACACACACACACACACACACACACA